Molecule: ribosomal RNA, 407 nt
Filed under: uncultured Nocardioides sp.
Lineage: Bacteria; Bacillati; Actinomycetota; Actinomycetes; Propionibacteriales; Nocardioidaceae
Description: bacterial SSU rRNA
Rfam family: Bacterial small subunit ribosomal RNA
Source: RNAcentral
UGGGGAAUAUUGGACAAUGGGCGGAAGCCUGAUCCAGCAAUGCCGCGUGAGGGAUGACGGCCUUCGGGUUGUAAACCUCUUUCGGUAGGGACGAAGCGCGAGUGACGGUACCUACUAAAGAAGCACCGGCCAACUACGUGCCAGCAGCCGCGGUAAUACGUAGGGUGCGAGCGUUGUCCGGAAUUAUUGGGCGUAAAGGGCUCGUAGGCGGUUUGUCGCGUCGGGAGUGAAAACCAGGUGCUUAACACCGUGGCUUGCUUUCGAUACGGGCAGACUAGAGGUAUGCAGGGGAGAACGGAAUUCCUGGUGUAGCGGUGAAAUGCGCAGAUAUCGGGAGGAACACCGGUGGCGAAGGCGGUUCUCUGGGCAUGACCUGACGCUGAGGAGCGAAAGUGUGGGAGCGAACA